RNAcentral lists this long non-coding RNA (223 nucleotides) under Medicago truncatula (barrel medic). RNAcentral's name for it is "lncRNA gene7031". The record is from RNAcentral. Lineage: Eukaryota; Viridiplantae; Streptophyta; Magnoliopsida; Fabales; Fabaceae.
GAGUUAGAGAGAGAAAGUGGGAGAAAGAGGAAGAAAGGGUUAGAGAGAAGAUGAGGUUGAAGAUUCAAGAGUUGGAGAGACCUAGAAGCUAAAGUGAAGCUUGAGCUAGGGAAUUAAUAUAACUAAGUAUGAGAAAGUGAUCGUGCUUAGUGUGCAGUUGCUGUUUGUGAGUGGCCUUACCUCACUGUGUCGUCUAGGUCACUCUGAUACGUAACGGGAUGGG